RNAcentral lists this ribosomal RNA (497 nucleotides) under uncultured bacterium. Its description in RNAcentral is "partial 16S ribosomal RNA". It matches the Rfam family "Bacterial small subunit ribosomal RNA", at positions 28 to 507 of the family's 1533-position model. The record is from RNAcentral.
GAUGAACGCUGGCGGCGUGCCUAAUACAUGCAAGUAGAACGCUGAAGGAAGGAGCUUGCUCUUUCCGGAUGAGUUGUGAACGGGUGAGUAACGCGUAGGUAACCUGCCUGGUAGCGGGGGAUAACUAUUGGAAACGAUAGCUAAUACCGCAUAACAGUAGAUGUUGCAUGAUAUCUACUUAAAAGGUGCAAUUGCACCACUACCAGAUGGACCUGCGUUGUAUUAGCUAGUUGGUGAGGUAACGGCUCACCAAGGCGACGAUACAUAGCCGACCUGAGAGGGUGAUCGGCCACACUGGGACUGAGACACGGCCCAGACUCCUACGGGAGGCAGCAGUAGGGAAUCUUCGGCAAUGGACGGAAGUCUGACCGAGCAACGCCGCGUGAGUGAAGAAGGUUUUCGGAUCGUAAAGCUCUGUUGUAAGAGAAGAACGAGUGUGAGAGUGGAAAGUUCACACUGUGACGGUAUCUUACCAGAAAGGGACGGCUAACUACGUG